UACGGGGGGGGCAAGCGUUGUUCGGAAUCACUGGGCGUAAAGGGCGUGUAGGCGGUUAGUUAAGUCUGGCGUGAAAGCUCUCGGCUAAACCGGGAGAGGUCGUUGGAUACUGGCUGACUAGAGGACGGUAGAGGCGUGUGGAAUUCCGGGUGUAGUGGUGAAAUGCGUAGAGAUCCGGAGGAACACCAGUGGCGAAGGCGACACGCUGGGCCGUACCUGACGCUAAAGCGCGACAGCAUGGGGAGCAAACGGG
RNAcentral lists this ribosomal RNA (253 nucleotides) under uncultured bacterium. Its description in RNAcentral is "partial 16S ribosomal RNA". It matches the Rfam family "Bacterial small subunit ribosomal RNA", at positions 524 to 776 of the family's 1533-position model. The record is from RNAcentral.